UAAUACGUAGGUGGCAAGCGUUGUCCGGAUUUAUUGGGCGUAAAGCGCCCGCAGGCGGCUUGAUAAGUUUCAGGUGAAAUCUCCCGGCUCAACCGGGAGGGUGCCUGGAAAACUAUCAGGCUUGAGUCAUGGAGAGGGAUGUGGAAUUCCCGGUGUAGUGGUGAAAUGCGUAGAUAUCGGGAGGAACACCAGUGGCGAAGGCGGCAUCCUGGCCAUGUACUGACGCUCAGGGGCGAAAGCGUGGGGAGCAAACCGGAUUAGAUACCCGGGUAGUCCACGCCGUAAACGAUGAGUACUAGGUGUAGGGGGUAUCGACCCCCUCUGUGCCGAAGCUAACGCGAUAAGUACUCCGCCUGGGGACUACGGCCGCAAGGCUA
Molecule: ribosomal RNA, 377 nt
Filed under: uncultured bacterium
Lineage: Bacteria
Description: bacterial SSU rRNA
Rfam family: Bacterial small subunit ribosomal RNA
Source: RNAcentral